Long non-coding RNA from Salvia miltiorrhiza (redroot sage), 1051 nucleotides. RefSeq lists it as uncharacterized. The record is from RefSeq and is a predicted model, not a curated record. The transcript is spliced from 4 exons. Lineage: Eukaryota; Viridiplantae; Streptophyta; Magnoliopsida; Lamiales; Lamiaceae.
AUUUGUUGCGAAAAAAAAGAAGCAAAUAUAUAAAAUUCUUGAAAACUAAAACAAACAAUUACCCACGAAAACUAGAACACAUUUCAUUUUACCGCUAUCUCCACAUUUUUUUUUUCAUUUUACCGCCAUGUUCUAAAAUCUCUCCACAAAUUCGGCAGUUACUUCUAGCCAAUUCCCACAAUCUUAAACUCGAAUUCCUCUCCUGCAAAUAAUUAAGAUAAAGAAAAACGAAAAAGAAGCCCUAAGCCCCCUCCUCCUCAUUUUUUCUCAUCGGCGGUGGCUUAAUUCAAAUUACAUCUUUUUCUUCUUCAUCUAAAUCCUCUGUCCCUGCAACUGGUUUCUUCUCAAUUUCUGCGCUCUUCCGCCGCCGCCUCCAGAUUUGUGCUGCUUUUGAGAGUAGAAUUAGUUCGAUUUUCUCUCAAACUCGUCGAUUCAGUAACGAGACACUGCUUGCUAAGUUCGCCAGAGGUGAUCGAGUACUGGUGGAUUUUGGAACUAGCCUACAAUAUCAAUUGGAGCAGCAAUUGGGGGAAGACGACACGCUGAGCACUGGUUUGGAACUUCUUCUACUUUGCAUUCUCACACAUUAAUUUCAACUAGCAAACUUGCCCAAUGGACGCAUCAAAAUGGUUUGAGGGAUUUUUAAGAAGCAUGGUAUCAAGUCUUUAUUCAACUCAUCCCCUCCUCUGAAGUCUUUAAUUUAUUCAUCCCCUAUAUGCAAGAAUUUUGGCUCUAAUGCAUCAUAUUUCCUAAAAGUUGGUGGCCACUUUGUCAUAUCUAACAAGGAGUAAUUGAAAAAGUUGUCAUGAUGAUUAACCAAUGUUCAACUAUUCCAAUGUACAAUGGAAUUGCUUUUGAUUAGGAGCUUGAAGAAAAAUUAUGAGUCCUAGAUUAAUUGCGAGUUGUAGAUUAAGUGCUUAGUAAUUUAAACAUUUAAAAUUAUAUGUAGUUAGUCAUUUCAAACUUGUACUUUGAUUUUGUUAAAUAUUUUUUAUGUAAAUGUUUUGUAUGAUAUUCUUAUUAUAUUUAAUGUGUUGAGUAUUUGAUUUUU